This 487-nucleotide long non-coding RNA is filed under the name Mytilus galloprovincialis (Mediterranean mussel). Lineage: Eukaryota; Metazoa; Mollusca; Bivalvia; Mytilida; Mytilidae. The record is from RNAcentral.
CUUUCAAUUUGUCUUUUAGUUUGGAAUGUGGAAUACUUGUGUAAAGAGUAGAAAAGUCAAAUGUUUAAAUACUGUUACAAGAUGAAAGAGAGUUAGAUUGUAUGUACUCUAAAAGAUCUUUGGAAUUUUUAAGUAUCCACAUCUGAUUCACGCCACCUCUAGACUAGGCAGUUUCACAAUAACUUUGAAGCCCGUCUUUGAUUGCUGAUAAAAUAGAUGUUAAUAAUUUAGAAAGAUGUUUUGUGGAGCACUUGGAAGACCCAGCAAUAUACCGUUGUUUGUAAGGACAUUUAUGUAGUUUAGGUAUCCAAUACAGUGAUGGAAGAUCCAGUUUUUCAUCUUUGGUUGAAAUUCCAAAGGAACAUAGAACAGACCUAUGAUUAUCCAGGAUUUCUUCUUUGGUAAGUGUCGUGAGGGUAUAUGUUGAGUUUCCAAGUGAAUUGUCAAUACCUAAUUCGUUUAUCAAGCAGUUGAUGUAAUGACUUUU